This 1326-nucleotide long non-coding RNA is filed under the name Numida meleagris (helmeted guineafowl). RNAcentral's name for it is "lncRNA (ENSNMEG00000000451.1)". Lineage: Eukaryota; Metazoa; Chordata; Aves; Galliformes; Numididae. The record is from RNAcentral.
GGUUGCACAUACAACAGCCAGCGCAGGUGACACAAAGGGGACAGAGGUGACAGGUGAUAAACAGGAAAAUUGGUGACAAAGAGGUGACAGUGUCACAGAGGUGACAGUGACGCGGGUGACAGCCGCACCUGCUGCCGUUGACGCAGUCCCUCAGGGCGUGGAAGCGCAGGGUGGGGGGCAGCAGCGGGGGGUCCCCGGGCUCCGGUGGCCGCAGCGUGUCCCAAACGGUGACAAAGCCACCGCUGUCCCCGCUCACCAGGAACCGCCCGCUCCUUGGGGUCAUCGGGAUCAGUGUCACACCGUGUCCCCGCCCCCCGUCCCCUCCCCCACCUGGUCCCAUCCCGGUGUCACCCCAUCCUGGCCCAGAGACAACCCCGUCCCACCCCACUGUCACCCCAGCGUCGCCCUGUCCUGUCCUGCCAUCGCCCCAGCGUCACCCUGAUGUCACCUCCGUGUCACCCUGUCCCGUCCGCUAUCACCAGUGUCACCCUGGUGUCACCUUACCCCGUGUCACCCCACCGUUCCCAAUUGUCACCCUGCCGUCACCCCAUCCCUUCUUGUCACCAUGCUGUCACCCCAGCGUCACCUUGUGCUGCCCCAGUUUCACCCCAGUCACCUACGUCACCAUGCCCUGUCCCACUGUCCCCUCCGGUUGUCACUCCACUGUCUCCCAGCGGUCACCUCAUUAUCACCCCAGUGUCACUCUGUCCUGCCCCACUAUCACCUGUGUCACCCUGCUGUCACCACAGUGUCACCCUGUCUUGGCCCGCUAUCACCCCAGUGUCACCCUGAUGUCACCCUGCUGUCACCCUGUCCUGUCCUGCUGUCACCUCAGUGUUACCCCAGUGCCACCCGUUCCUGUCCUGCUGUCACCUGUGUCACUCCGCUGUGACCACGUCUUGUCCUGUUGUCACCCAGACAUCACGUCAGUGUCACCCUGUCCAGUCUCCCUGUCACCCCAGUGUCACCCUGCCUUGUCUUGUUGCCACUCCGAUGUCACUCUUGUACCACCCUGCCCCGUCUGGCUGACAUCCCACUGUCACCCCACUGUCACCAUGUCUUGUCCUGCUGUCACCCAACUGUCACCCCAAUGUCACAUCAUCCUGUCCUGCUGUUACCCUGCUAUCACCCACUGUCACCCUGCUGUCACCCAGCGUCACCGCGCCCCGUCCCGCUGUCAUUCACGGGUCCAGGUCAAAGGUCACGCGCUGGUUGGUGGCCACGCGCCGCUCCACCGCCAGCAGCACCUCGUCCGGGCGCCGCAGGUCCCAGCACAGGAUGCGCCGUGCCUGGGGAGGGGGGCGGGGCCUCAGCAAACCACGCCCA